AAGCACGUAGCUCAGUUGGUUAGAGCACCACCUUGACAUGGUGGGGGUCGUUGGUUCGAAUCCAAUCGUGCCUACCA
This 77-nucleotide transfer RNA is filed under the name Neisseria meningitidis ATCC 13091. RNAcentral's name for it is "tRNA-Val". It matches the Rfam family "tRNA". From Rfam's summary of the family: Transfer RNA (tRNA) molecules are approximately 80 nucleotides in length. Their secondary structure includes four short double-helical elements and three loops (D, anti-codon, and T loops). Further hydrogen bonds mediate the characteristic L-shaped molecular structure. tRNAs have two regions of fundamental functional importance: the anti-codon, which is responsible for specific mRNA codon recognition, and the 3' end, to which the tRNAs corresponding amino acid is attached (by aminoacyl-tRNA synthetases). tRNAs cope with the degeneracy of the genetic code in two manners: having more than one tRNA (with a specific anti-codon) for a particular amino acid; and 'wobble' base-pairing, i.e. permitting non-standard base-pairing at the 3rd anti-codon position. The record is from RNAcentral. Lineage: Bacteria; Pseudomonadati; Pseudomonadota; Betaproteobacteria; Neisseriales; Neisseriaceae.